Molecule: RNA transcript, 792 nt
Organism: Homo sapiens (human)
Lineage: Eukaryota; Metazoa; Chordata; Mammalia; Primates; Hominidae
Gene: ELK2AP
Gene name: ETS transcription factor ELK2A, pseudogene
Exons: 3
Source: RefSeq, marked validated
AGAGAGGGUUCGUGCCAGAAACCGCCAAGGCCGAGCCUGAAGUCCCUCCACAGGAGGGCGUGCCAGCGUGGCUGCCGAGGUCCUUAUGGACACCGCAGGGCAGGCGGGCGGCCACGCGGCUUCCAGCCCUCAGAUCUCCCAGCCGCAGAAGGGCCGGAAGCCCCGGGACCUAGAGCUUCCACUCAGCCCGAGCCUGCUAGGUGCGCCGGGACCCGAACGGACCCCAGGAUCGGGAACUGGCUCCGGCCUCCAGGCGCCGAGGCCGGCGCUGACCCUGUCCCUGCUUCCUACGCACACGUUGACCCCGGCGCUGCUGACACCCAGCUCGCUGCCUCCCAGCGUUCACUUCCGGAGCAGCCUGAGUCCCGCUGCGCCCCGCAGCCCGGCCAAGCUCUCCUGCCAGCUUCCGUCCAGUGGCGGCGCCCAGACAGGACAAUCGGGGUCUGACUUGAGAACGACCUUUCUUUCUUCAUUCCUCGGCCUGCCCGUGGGGAGAUGAGGGAGCCCUGUGUCCAUUUUAGGAUCCUCCACCAAGGGCCCAUCGGUCUUCCCCCUGGUGCCCUCCUCCAGGAGCGUCUCUGAGGGCACAGCGGCCCUGGGCUGCCUGGUCAAGGACUACUUCCCCGAACCGGUGACGGUGUCGUGGAACUCAGGGGCCCUGACCAGAAGCGUGCACACCUUCCCGGCUGUCCUACAGUCCUCAGGACUCUACUCCCUCAGCAGCGUGGUGACCGUGCCCUCCAGCAGCUUGGGCACCCAGACCUACACCUGCAACGUAGAUCACAAGCCCAG